RNAcentral lists this small nuclear RNA (156 nucleotides) under Sorex araneus (European shrew). RNAcentral's name for it is "U1 spliceosomal RNA (ENSSARG00000016314.1)". It matches the Rfam family "U1 spliceosomal RNA". From Rfam's summary of the family: U1 is a small nuclear RNA (snRNA) component of the spliceosome (involved in pre-mRNA splicing). Lineage: Eukaryota; Metazoa; Chordata; Mammalia; Eulipotyphla; Soricidae. The record is from RNAcentral.
AUACUUGGGGAAAGACCAUGAUGAUAAAGGUGGUAUUCCCAAGUAGGAGUUAGUCCUUACACCCCCAAUGUGCUGGCCCCUAUGGUUUCUCCAAAUAUGGGAAACUCAACUGCAUAUAUGUGUGUAUGCGUAUAUAUAUAUGUAUAUAUAUAUAUA